Molecule: ribosomal RNA, 2923 nt
Filed under: Klebsiella pneumoniae
Lineage: Bacteria; Pseudomonadati; Pseudomonadota; Gammaproteobacteria; Enterobacterales; Enterobacteriaceae
Description: bacterial LSU rRNA
Rfam family: Bacterial large subunit ribosomal RNA
Source: RNAcentral
GGGUUGUGAGGUUAAGCGACUAAGCGUACACGGUGGAUGCCCUGGCAGUCAGAGGCGAUGAAGGACGUGCUAAUCUGCGAAAAGCGUCGGUAAGGUGAUAUGAACCGUUACAGCCGGCGAUGUCCGAAUGGGGAAACCCAGUGCAAUUCGUUGCACUAUCGUUAACUGAAUACAUAGGUUAACGAGGCGAACCGGGGGAACUGAAACAUCUAAGUACCCCGAGGAAAAGAAAUCAACCGAGAUUCCCCCAGUAGCGGCGAGCGAACGGGGAGCAGCCCAGAGUCUGAAUCAGCUUGUGUGUUAGUGGAACGGUCUGGAAAGUCCGACGGUACAGGGUGAUAGUCCCGUACACCAAAAUGCACAGGCUGUGAACUCGAAGAGUAGGGCGGGACACGUGGUAUCCUGUCUGAAUAUGGGGGGACCAUCCUCCAAGGCUAAAUACUCCUGACUGACCGAUAGUGAACCAGUACCGUGAGGGAAAGGCGAAAAGAACCCCGGCGAGGGGAGUGAAAAAGAACCUGAAACCGUGUACGUACAAGCAGUGGGAGCACCUUCGGGUGUGACUGCGUACCUUUUGUAUAAUGGGUCAGCGACUUAUAUUCUGUAGCAAGGUUAACCGUAUAGGGGAGCCGCAGGGAAACCGAGUCUUAACUGGGCGUUAAGUUGCAGGGUAUAGACCCGAAACCCGGUGAUCUAGCCAUGGGCAGGUUGAAGGUUGGGUAACACUAACUGGAGGACCGAACCGACUAAUGUUGAAAAAUUAGCGGAUGACUUGUGGCUGGGGGUGAAAGGCCAAUCAAACCGGGAGAUAGCUGGUUCUCCCCGAAAGCUAUUUAGGUAGCGCCUCGUGAAUUCAUCUUCGGGGGUAGAGCACUGUUUCGGCUAGGGGGUCAUCCCGACUUACCAACCCGAUGCAAACUACGAAUACCGAAGAAUGUUAUCACGGGAGACACACGGCGGGUGCUAACGUCCGUCGUGAAGAGGGAAACAACCCAGACCGCCAGCUAAGGUCCCAAAGUCAUGGUUAAGUGGGAAACGAUGUGGGAAGGCACAGACAGCCAGGAUGUUGGCUUAGAAGCAGCCAUCAUUUAAAGAAAGCGUAAUAGCUCACUGGUCGAGUCGGCCUGCGCGGAAGAUGUAACGGGGCUAAACCAUGCACCGAAGCUGCGGCAGCGACACUAUGUGUUGUUGGGUAGGGGAGCGUUCUGUAAGCCUGCGAAGGUGUGCUGUGAGGCAUGCUGGAGGUAUCAGAAGUGCGAAUGCUGACAUAAGUAACGAUAAAGCGGGUGAAAAGCCCGCUCGCCGGAAGACCAAGGGUUCCUGUCCAACGUUAAUCGGGGCAGGGUGAGUCGACCCCUAAGGCGAGGCCGAAAGGCGUAGUCGAUGGGAAACAGGUUAAUAUUCCUGUACUUGGUGUUACUGCGAAGGGGGGACGGAGAAGGCUAUGUUAGCCGGGCGACGGUUGUCCCGGUUUAAGCAUGUAGGCUGGUUGUCCAGGCAAAUCCGGAUAAUCAAGGCUGAGGUGUGAUGACGAGGCACUACGGUGCUGAAGUAACAAAUGCCCUGCUUCCAGGAAAAGCCUCUAAGCAUCAGGUAACAUUAAAUCGUACCCCAAACCGACACAGGUGGUCAGGUAGAGAAUACCAAGGCGCUUGAGAGAACUCGGGUGAAGGAACUAGGCAAAAUGGUGCCGUAACUUCGGGAGAAGGCACGCUGGUGUGUAGGUGAAGUCCCUGCGGAUGGAGCUGAGACCAGUCGAAGAUACCAGCUGGCUGCAACUGUUUAUUAAAAACACAGCACUGUGCAAACACGAAAGUGGACGUAUACGGUGUGACGCCUGCCCGGUGCCGGAAGGUUAAUUGAUGGGGUUAUCCGUAAGGAGAAGCUCUUGAUCGAAGCCCCGGUAAACGGCGGCCGUAACUAUAACGGUCCUAAGGUAGCGAAAUUCCUUGUCGGGUAAGUUCCGACCUGCACGAAUGGCGUAAUGAUGGCCAGGCUGUCUCCACCCGAGACUCAGUGAAAUUGAACUCGCUGUGAAGAUGCAGUGUACCCGCGGCAAGACGGAAAGACCCCGUGAACCUUUACUAUAGCUUGACACUGAACAUUGAGCCUUGAUGUGUAGGAUAGGUGGGAGGCUUUGAAGCGUGGACGCCAGUCUGCGUGGAGCCAACCUUGAAAUACCACCCUUUAAUGUUUGAUGUUCUAACGUUGGCCCCUGACCGGGGUUGCGGACAGUGUCUGGUGGGUAGUUUGACUGGGGCGGUCUCCUCCCAAAGCGUAACGGAGGAGCACGAAGGUUAGCUAAUCCUGGUCGGACAUCAGGAGGUUAGUGCAAUGGCAUAAGCUAGCUUGACUGCGAGCGUGACGGCGCGAGCAGGUGCGAAAGCAGGUCAUAGUGAUCCGGUGGUUCUGAAUGGAAGGGCCAUCGCUCAACGGAUAAAAGGUACUCCGGGGAUAACAGGCUGAUACCGCCCAAGAGUUCAUAUCGACGGCGGUGUUUGGCACCUCGAUGUCGGCUCAUCACAUCCUGGGGCUGAAGUAGGUCCCAAGGGUAUGGCUGUUCGCCAUUUAAAGUGGUACGCGAGCUGGGUUUAGAACGUCGUGAGACAGUUCGGUCCCUAUCUGCCGUGGGCGCUGGAGAAUUGAGGGGGGCUGCUCCUAGUACGAGAGGACCGGAGUGGACGCAUCACUGGUGUUCGGGUUGUCAUGCCAAUGGCACUGCCCGGUAGCUAAAUGCGGAAGAGAUAAGUGCUGAAAGCAUCUAAGCACGAAACUUGCCCCGAGAUGAGUUCUCCCUGAGACUUUAAGUCUCCUGAAGGAACGUUGAAGACGACGACGUUGAUAGGCCGGGUGUGUAAGCGCAGCGAUGCGUUGAGCUAACCGGUACUAAUGAACCGUGAGGCUUAACCUUACAACGCCGAAG